Long non-coding RNA from Mustela erminea (ermine), 756 nucleotides. RefSeq lists it as uncharacterized. NCBI's taxonomy places the organism in Eukaryota, Metazoa, Chordata, Mammalia, Carnivora, Mustelidae. The record is from RefSeq and is a predicted model, not a curated record. The transcript has 4 exons.
CCCUGGAGGUGUGCUGUGUAUCGCCUGCUUGCCCUCCCCACCCCCGGCCCCGGGGAAGGGGGUUCUAGGAAGCAAGCUUUGGGAACCCGGAUGAAGUCCAGCCAGGCUCCUCGGCUCUAGAAGCUCUGGUCAGACCUUUCCACCCGAGUUCUGUAUAGGGUGACUCAUAAUCCCGGUUUGAACACUGAAAGUUCCAGCUCUGCUCAACGAACCCUGUCAGUCCCAGGAAAACAGGACGAUAACAGAAUAAACAACCACCACAAAUGUCUUCACAUCCUUUUAGGUCUGGUUUUGCUACCACGCAAAUUUGCCACAAACCAAAGAAAAGACUUGAUUUUCAGAGCUUUUGGAUUUGGGGAUUGUGGAAGAGGGACUGUGGACCUGUAAGCAACCAAGAGAAAUCUGAAGAAGACUAUCGCUUUUAUGAAAAAGAGGCUAAAAGUGAAAACAGCGCUCUGUUCUGCAACCUGUGGUCACAGAGGCCGCGCGAGGAAGCAGCGAGAAUGGCGCCACCAAGCUCCUUCCCGGGGAACUACACUCAGCUGCUCAGCAUCGAGCCAUCCUAGCUUUGAACUGUGAACGUCUGUGCCUUAUCUCAAUUUAUUUUGUGAAUCCACUAGCAAGAUGUGUCCUAACAUCAUAGAAAAGCCUAAGAGAGGUUCAUCUGGGGGGUCUGGGAACCCUAAAAAAAGUUUCUAUAUAAGUUCGUGGAAGUUGCUUCUUUGCUUUAUGCCAUUUCAGUUUAUAAAAGUUUGA